RNAcentral lists this unclassified non-coding RNA (2769 nucleotides) under Leishmania donovani. Its description in RNAcentral is "gene:LdHU3.22.0020(CDS-product:CLN3_protein_putat ive)". The record is from RNAcentral. Lineage: Eukaryota; Euglenozoa; Kinetoplastea; Trypanosomatida; Trypanosomatidae.
CAUUCCUUCUAAGUCAGAAAAGUAUCCACGCACCGCCAGCACUCUAUGUAUGCCCAAUAGCACGCCUCCGUUUCCGCACUUCCUGUCGUUGCCCCUCCUCAGUAACAAGCUGCGCAACUCCUGCCCACCACACGUCAUUGAUGCGUGGCAUUGAUGGGAAGGGCGAGUCUAGCCGGGAGGGCGUCGAAGUGGACGUUGUUACUGGUGUGGUCGCUGAGGACUUGCGGAAAGACGGCGUAGUGGACAACCAGUCUAUUUUACUCGCGCAGAAUGAACCCAGCAGCGUUGAGGAGGGCGAGCGCUACAAGCGCGAUGCUACGACUGUACACCGUCUGUUCAAGCGCACGAUCAUCCGCAACAGCGUCUUCCUGUGGCUGGUGGGCUUCAUCAACAACUUCCACUACUGCCUCGUCAUGUCGGCUGCUGCAAGCCUUGCGGAGGGCUACGGCCUCAAGAAACUUGUCGCCCUUAUCACGUGGGCGAACAUCUUUUUCGGCAUCUUCGCCCGCAUACUGAACAUGUUCAUUGCGAACCGUGUGUCCUACAAUCUGCGCAUCACGGCGAUGGCUCUCUCUUCUUUGCUAGGCAUCUUCUUCGUCAGUUUCGCAACGCCAAUGGGAGGACAUAACAACGUGGCAGCGUUUGUUGUGAUGCUCAUUGGCGUUGUUCUUCUCGGCACUGCCUCAAAUUAUGGAGAGAGCGUGAUGCUCACCUUCGUACAGCGCUACCCCGACUCGAUUGUCGGGGCGUGGAGCAGCGGCACAGGCAUCUCCGGCGUCGCCGCGUCGCUCAUCUUUUUGGGCCUCACCAGCGCCGGCCUGACGCAGCAGCAGACGUUCCUGGUGUCCACACCUCUGUGCAUCAUCUACUGGCUGUGCUUCAUGUUAGGCAUGGUGUCUCCGCGCAAGGUACUUGUGGCGACACGCACGAAUGGGAAGAGAGAGGAUAUCAUUAUUUACUGCCUGGAGGGGGAGGAGGACGCGCACAUCUGCCUGCUGCGCGAAAGGGCGCUUGCUCGACAAGACGUUGUCAGCGUGUCGGAGGACUACGAGAUCAAAAUGAUCAUGAACAUCCGUGCCGUGCCAUGGCACCGGUCGCCGGUCGUACACAAGCCCGAGCCAAUCGCUGAGGAGGGCGACGGACUGUACUACCCGUGCUGCCGCGUCAUAUGCGGGUGCUGCUCGCCGAGCAACGGGCUGCGUCGCUGGUGGCGUGACGUGGGCCCAGACCUGAUCUUUAUGCACAACACCAUGAUCUGGUUCUUCUUCAACCUCGCUGUCGUGUAUAUUGCUGAGUACGCUGCGCAGCUGAUGGCGCCGUUCAGCUUCUACUGUGAGCCGGAGUGGAAGGACAACUUCUGGGUGAAGAACUCGUACGUUGUGUGCCAGUUUUGCUACCAGCUCGGCGUGCUCAUCUCGCGCAGCUCGCUGCUGAUCGUCAAGAUCCCGUAUGUGGGCAUCAUAUCGAUCAUCCAGGUCGUCAACGCGGUGUGCUGGAUUGUGCAAGCCAGAGUUAUGUACAUCAAGUCGAACACGAAGAGCCGACAGGUUGGCCUGUCCUUCAUCCUGUUCGCGUGGAUGAUCUUCAUCGGGCUGAUGGGCGGUGCCUCGUACGUGAACGUGUUGUACCUCAUCCUGAAGCGGAGCACGACGUUGCGCGAGCGCGAGGAGCGCGAGGCCGUGGAAGCGUAUCUCACAAGCAAGGGCCACGACGUGAGCCAGUGCAGAUAUGCCGAGGACAGUGAACCCAGAAAGAAGGCUGCCGACGAGCGCGCGGCACCCGUGGUAGCCAAGCUGGAGCGCAAGCCCAUGAACGAGAUCAUGCCCCAACCCUCGCAAUGUGAUACCGCAAGCGCUGCACCACAGGCUCAGAUUCUUGGGCUUCCCUCACCCAAGAGGAGCGCGAUGCGAUAAAGGCUAUUCACUGCAAUCUCAACGACGUGUGGGCGGCCCGCCGUGAGAUGGGCAUGAACAUUGGAGCCCUGUACGCGACUGUGGGCAUCACGCUUGGCACAGUCGUCGACUUGAUCUUCACAAACACGAUGCUCAAGCACAGUACGAGCUGCUAGCAGCCCGUCCCCCAAAGUACGGCCGGCAAAGGGGGAAAGAAAACAAUAGCAGCGCGGAAGGGAUCUGCGACUGCACAAGCAAGCGCAGAUGACAGGCCUGCGAAAGUGAGCGAGAGCUCACAUCGCAGCGAACGCACUGCAGAUGUGGGGCGAUUUCUACGCGUUUUUCCUCUCUGUUGACCGUAGUGGUUCUGUUUGUGCAGCACUCAUUCGUACUAGUGCGUCGUCCAUGACCUCUGAGGUUGCUUCUUCCCCAGAGCCCGUCAUACCCCAUAGUGGGUAGCAUCGCCGUCAAAGUUAUGUUUUCUUUCAAUAUUUCUUUCGUCUUUCUAUCACAUAUGUGUGCUUGCGCUCAGUUGUCAUCGGGUGCGAUCGAAAGAAAGCCUCUUUUUUCGGAUGGGGUUCCCCUACCAUGCUGCUGAAGAAGCACGAUGCGCUCAUGGCGAAGCUCGGCACUGGCAGGGCCUUUCUCAUGGGCACUGUGAUUCUUGCCAGCUGAUCAUCUGCACCUGUUUCAGGCGGCUCUCCGGAGAAAAGAUGUGGCGCACGCCCGCUCAAGGCUCCAUCUCGUGACAAAUAAGCUUUUUCAGCAUCCGACAUCUUUUCUGGUGGGCUGAUGUUCAUAAUCGCGCUCGCUUCUCGUGCACGUCGUGACUUUUUUCUCUUUUGUUUCUCGACUUUGAGGCCCUCCGCUUUUCCAG